GAUGAACGCUGGCGGCGUGCCUAAUACGUGCAAGUCGAGCGAACAGACGAGGAGCUUGCUCCUCUGACGUUAGCGGCGGACGGGUGAGUAACACGUGGAUAACCUACCUAUAAGACUGGGAUAACUUCGGGAAACCGGAGCUAAUACCGGAUAACAUGUUGAACCGCAUGGUUCAACAGUGAAAGACGGUUUUGCUGUCACUUAUAGAUGGAUCCGCGUCGCAUUAGCUAGUUGGUAAGGUAACGGCUUACCAAGGCAACGAUGCGUAGCCGACCUGAGAGGGUGAUCGGCCACACUGGAACUGAGACACGGUCCAGACUCCUACGGGAGGCAGCAGUAGGGAAUCUUCCGCAAUGGGCGAAAGCCUGACGGAGCAACGCCGCGUGAGUGAAGAAGGUCUUCGGAUCGUAAAACUCUGUUAUUAGGGAAGAACAAAUGUGUAAGUAACUAUGCACGUCUUGACGGUACCUAAUCAGAAAGCCACGGCUAACUACGUG
This 497-nucleotide ribosomal RNA is filed under the name uncultured bacterium. RNAcentral describes it as "partial 16S ribosomal RNA". It matches the Rfam family "Bacterial small subunit ribosomal RNA", at positions 28 to 507 of the family's 1533-position model. The record is from RNAcentral.